This is a non-coding RNA of Gossypium raimondii (Peruvian cotton), 128 nucleotides long. The record is from Rfam. NCBI's taxonomy places the organism in Eukaryota, Viridiplantae, Streptophyta, Magnoliopsida, Malvales, Malvaceae.
UGUUAAAAUUUUCAUCCCUUUCUACUAUUAAAAAUUGGUGUAGUUGAUAAAAUAAUCAGCCACUUGUACCUCAUGCUGACUUACUAAGACCCAAUUUGUAAUAGUAAAAAUGGAUUGAAAUUUUAGAA